GAUGGGGAGCGAAAUUUAGUAGCGAAGUAGCUGAUUUCACACUGUCAAGAAAAGUCUCUAUCGAGGGUAAAGGUACCCGUACCGCAAACCGACACAGGGGGGUGAGGAGAGUAUCCUAAGGCCAGCGAGAGAACUGUUGUUAAGGAACUCGGCAAAAUGACCCCGUAACGUAGGGAUAAGGGGGGCAACAACCGGGUGGCCGCAGAGAGGAGGCGCA
Molecule: ribosomal RNA, 217 nt
Filed under: Clostridioides difficile
Lineage: Bacteria; Bacillati; Bacillota; Clostridia; Peptostreptococcales; Peptostreptococcaceae
Description: partial 23S ribosomal RNA
Rfam family: Bacterial large subunit ribosomal RNA
Source: RNAcentral